RNAcentral lists this ribosomal RNA (458 nucleotides) under uncultured bacterium. Its description in RNAcentral is "partial 16S ribosomal RNA". It matches the Rfam family "Bacterial small subunit ribosomal RNA", at positions 338 to 795 of the family's 1533-position model. The record is from RNAcentral.
CCUACGGGAGGCAGCAGUGAGGAAUAUUGGUCAAUGGGCGAGAGCCUGAACCAGCCAAGUCGCGUGAGGGAGUACUGCCCUAUGGGUUGUAAACCUCUUUUGUCGGGGAGCAAAAGCCGGACGUGUCCGGCUGUGAGAGUACCCGAAGAAAAAGCAUCGGCUAACUCCGUGCCAGCAGCCGCGGUAAUACGGAGGAUGCGAGCGUUAUCCGGAUUUAUUGGGGUUAAAGGGUGCGCAGGCGGAUUUUUAAGUCAGCGGUCAAAUCGUGGGGCUCAACCCCAUCCAGCCGUUGAAACUGGGGAUCUAGAGUGUGCGAGAGGUAUGCGGAAUGCGUGGUGUAGCGGUGAAAUGCAUAGAUAUCACGCAGAACCCCGAUUGCAAAGGCAGCAUACCGGUGCACAACUGACGCUCAGGCACGAAAGCGUGGGUAUCGAACAGGAUUAGAUACCCCGGUAGUC